This is a long non-coding RNA of Myotis myotis, 1134 nucleotides long. RefSeq lists it as uncharacterized. The transcript has 3 exons. NCBI's taxonomy places the organism in Eukaryota, Metazoa, Chordata, Mammalia, Chiroptera, Vespertilionidae. The record is from RefSeq and is a predicted model, not a curated record.
CGCUUCCCCAGCUCCUAUUUUGGGCGCCAGCGCGGAGCAAACAGGCACCAUAUAGGGAGACGUUCUCUGCGAAGAUGAAGACGCGGGGCUCCCUGGGGGGGAGGUGGCCGGGCCCGGGCUGGGCUCUGAGGAAGCAGCUCUUCAGAGGUUGCCGGGGCUGCCGCCAGGCUUCCUGUGGCCUCUGACGGGGCACUGGCCUCUGUGUCCCUGGCUUUGUCUCGCCGACAGCUGAGUGUGUGGGAUGACAUGAUGUUGUACAUAGAUAACCCCAAAAACUGCACCAGAAAACUUAUGAAAGUAGAAAGUAAGCUCAGGAACGACAUAAGAUACAAAGUCUACACACAGAUGGCUGGUGCUCCUGCACAUUCUCAUCAAAGCGUCUCCGUGACUCUAGGAAAUAGGCGGGCUGUUUCAGAGGGAAGUGAGGAAAGAACACUUGAACCGGCUGCACAAGGAGAUGACAACCUAAGGAAACAAGAGCCCUGGACGUGUGUGUGCUCGGUCUUGGUUCGGCCCCAUCAUGUACCCAGUCCACAGGUUGGUGUUCUAUCCACUGGGCCACACCAGCCAGGGCUGAAGAUAACAUCUUGACUUCAGUUCUGUGUCAGGCCCAGGUCCCCGAAAGCGGACGACUCUCCGGGCGGACCACACCCUCAGGAAACCAGACAGAACAACGGCACAGCCGACACCAGGGCCCGAGGCCACCACCAGCCCCUCCCUGCCCUGCCCCCAACCCGUCAGCAGAGCCCAGGACCCCACCCCUUGAUGAGUUCCCCCCAGGUGACCCACCCCCGGGUAGCCGCGGGGAGCCAGGCCUGUGAGCACUAGCGCCCCUUGGCUCCGGGCUUGGCGCCAUUUCCCCGCCGAGUAAACCUCUGCUUUCUUGGCUGCAAACCCCUAUUUGCACCCGAUUGGGCUUUGGGGCGCACAGGUGAAACAUCACUUUGUCCUCUCUGCCCCCCUCCCCGCCCCCGAGUCUGACUCCGAGUCCCUGGGCUGCUUCAGGGCUGCCCGGGGUCUGGUUCCAGUUCCCAGGACUUGCUGGUGGACCACCUCAGAGACAGACCCGCCCUCACCGGCUUGGCUCAGUGGAUAGAGCGUCGGCCUGUGGACUGAAAGGUCCCAGGUUUGAUU